GAUGAACGCUGGCGGCGUGCCUAAUACAUGCAAGUAGAACGCUGAAGGAAGGAGCUUGCUCUUUCCGGAUGAGUUGCGAACGGGUGAGUAACGCGUAGGUAACCUGCCUGGUAGCGGGGGAUAACUAUUGGAAACGAUAGCUAAUACCGCAUAACAGUAGAUGUUGCAUGAUAUCUACUUAAAAGGUGCAAUUGCACCACUACCAGCUGGACCUGCGUUGUAUUAGCUAGUUGGUGAGGUAACGGCUCACCAAGGCGACGAUACAUAGCCGACCUGAGAGGGUGAGCGGCCACACUGGGACGGAGACACGGCCCAGACUCCUACGGGAGGCAGCAGUAGGGAAUCUUCGGCAAUGGACGGAAGGCUGAACGAGCAACGCCGCGUGAGUGAAGAAGGUUGUCGGAUCGUAAAGCUCUGUUGUAAGAGAAGAACGAGUGUGAGAGUGGAAAGUUCACACUGUGACGGUAUCUGACCAGAAAGGGACGGCUAACUACGUG
Molecule: ribosomal RNA, 497 nt
Filed under: uncultured bacterium
Lineage: Bacteria
Description: partial 16S ribosomal RNA
Rfam family: Bacterial small subunit ribosomal RNA
Source: RNAcentral